GAUGACCUAGACGUCUAUGCCACAGCUCAUUGCCAAGGCUAAUAGCAUUACAUGCAAAGGAACGUGAAAUAGAACUAGGAAAAACCGGGAAAGGAGAAAUGUGUAAAGGAAAGAGUUGUCCUACUUUAGGCACCUUUGUAAGCAUCUUCCUGGACACUGGAUCCUGCACAACACAACUAGAACGAGAAAAAUGGACAUCACAAUUAUUAUCAGCCAAUUGACCAACAGAGAUUAAAUUCAUAAGAGACUAGAAGAUAUAAAAACAUUAGUUAAGGAAGAAGAAAAAUCGCCAAUAGCACUAAUAGGUAGAGAAUUAUCGUUAGCAGUGUGAAUUCAAAGAUCACCAUCAUACUCUCUAAUGUUGGAAAGAGGAUCAUAUGAUUAGAGGCUCCGAAGUUUUAAAAAAAAAAAAAAAAGCUUAGAAGAAACGGUAUGAAUACUCGAGAGACCAUAUGCAGAAAAAGCGGAAUAGAUUAUCUGUUGUACCAUUUUAGGAGUGACACUGGUUGGGUUUGCUAGGGCAAUCAUAACACUGAUAGGAACAAUUGGCGAGGCAGUGGGCAACGCAGCGGAGCUAUUGGCACCAACGGAGGCAUAAUAUGUAGUGCUAUGCUUCCUUUCAAGUCAAAUGGGACAAAAGGAGAUGUGAUGACCCUGUUUAUUGCAAUAGUUACAAUGUUUCUUGGGACAAUCCAGAGCAAUGUGACCAAAGGCUUUACUGUUAUAACAUUGGAUAGCACGUAUGUCUCGAAACUUAUUCCUUCCUUGUGUUGCAUAAGCGACAGUAAUAGGAGAAUUAACGGUGGCCCCAUAUUCUAUAGUAGCUUGAUUGACGAUACGUUGCUCCUCGCAAAGAAGUUCACUCAAGCAAGCAUCUAAAAAUGGUACCGGAUGACUAUUCAUUAGAUUAGAGCAUGCAACCUCAAAGUCAAGACGUAGCUUCAUCAAGAAUUGGUCUCUCUUGCUUGUUUCAUGCACUAUUUGAACAGCAAAUAAGGCAAUAGCAGGAACAUUAGCAUAAAUAAUGUCUAAAUACUCAACCCAAAGAUUUUGAAAAAUAGAAGAAUAAUCCUCAGAUCGAGAGGCUUCCCUAUGUAAAAUUAGCCAACUUGUAUUUCAAUCCAAGUCAGAUUGUCUUGUUUGUAAACCUUACUAAAGUAAUCUCACAUAUCAGUAGUCAUUUUAUAAGGUCUCAAAUUAAAAACAAGGUGAUGUUCAACUGAACCAAUGAUCCAAGUCAUAACUCAGACAUCCUUGAUUUCCCAUUUGGAUAAAUGCUCCACAUCUUUAGGGGCAAGAUUGCUUCCAUCAAGAUGACCCGGCAACUCUUUUCUUUUAAUAAAUAAUUGAAAUUGAAAUUUCCAAGCUGAAUUAUUUUUGCUAUUAAAACAAGUAGGAAAAAAUUCAAUUUAUUGGAUGACAUGAUUAAUAAUGCAGCUCUCUAAGAGUAAAACAAAGAACCCAGACAAAAUAAAUGCAGCUCUCUAAGAGUAAAACAAAGAACCCAGACAAAAUAAAUAUAAAACCGGCCUAGACUAAAAGAACAUAUUGACCAACAUGCAACCAAGAGAAAGCGUCGACCAAAUUCACAAAAAAUUCAAGAAACUUGAACCAAACUAGCAAAAUAUUGACCAAAGGCAAAAUCGUGCACACCAAAUGGGUGAAUGAUAAAUACCCAACCAAAAUCGCAAAAGGAGUUAAAAACCAAAGUCACCGGAGGCUGGAAUACGCAAAUAUGAGAGGCCGAAUAACAAGAGGAGUUACCGACUAGAGACACCAGAGGAUGGAAUACCUAGAUGAAAAGCCAAAUUCCACUUUUCAAAUUUUUGACGCCCACAAAGCACGAGGAGCGAGCAACAGCCAAUCUGAAAUUACAGUCUGAAGCCUUCAACAACCGAAAAGGAGGAAACUAGGUGAACAAAAACUAAUCAAGUUAGGCGCCAAAGCUCUGAUACGAUGUUAAGAGCCGAAAUCUGCGAGAGAAAAUAGUUUAAUUUUCUGAAAACUCGUUUAUUCUUUUUGCCUCUUUUGUCCAAUAUGUGUGCGUGUGUGUAUACACAGAUUACAAUGAAACUAUAUAUUUUGCAAUUUCUAAGAAUCGGCUAUCAUUAACCGAAAGAUAAAUUCCAUAAUUAUCUAUAGUAACAGAUAUACGGAGGAUUGCAUUAGUGACAUAUAGGUGAGCCCAAUAGAAUGCAACGAAUAAAGAACCAAAUUGAGAAAGAAAGAGAAAGGGAAGGAAAGAGAGGAAGAGAGAGAAGAAAUAAGAGAAUAUAGUAUGAAAUUGGGGAGAGAGUAUAAUUUAUAUAUAAACAAAGUUUGAGUAUUACAAUGAAUAGAUUCUUUAUAUAGAGUCUAAUCAAACUUAAUUUGAGAAGGACAAUAAUCUUAUUCUAGUCAAAUUAGAAAAUUAAAAUAAACUAAUCUAAUCAUAACAAACAUAACUUAUGUCAAAUUCUAUUUUAAAAUUCUAUUUAAAUCUUAUAUUUAUUCUUUUCAUUUUCCAUCACUUCUUUCCAAAUGAGAAAACUCGACUCCUACGAAAUAUACUGCAAGACGAACUUUCUUAUUGAUCAAAUGAUCUAACCAAAGAACUUUUAAUGAAGUAACAAUAGGGAACUCCAAAAAAAUAACAACCCAUGCAACUCAUCCACAAAAAUUAUAAGAAAUCCAAAUGGUGUUUUCCAUACCUUUUUCAUCCCUCUGGGUUAGAGGGAAGUUCAAAACUUAGCUAUGCCCUUCUUAAUUCUAGAAACCCAAAAGCUUGUGAACACAUUCAACCAACCAGAAAGCAUGAGUAACUUGAUGCUAGUGCAUUGAUAGAUUGAUUCACAGAAACAGAUGAGUGCAAUCCUUAUAGCUCGAAUGUAGGAAAAAUUUUGCUGCACCGAAAACAAAAUAUUCAUUUAAAUAUGAUGGUCAAAUAGAUUAUUUUCAUCUAAGCUAUCUAAACAUUUUUUUUCCUUUCAAAAGCUGUGCAAAAGAAACACGUAAUAACGAGGCUUAAAAAUUAUUCAUCAAAAACAAGCAUUAUUUUCAUUAUUUAAAUAAAUUUUUCUUUUUAUCUUAACUUGAAAAAUCAGGAAAAGGUGCAAUAGAGAUCGGAGCUAAAAUAACAUGAUGGUAACUAGUAGGCAACAAUCAAAUGUCAAUAGGAAAAUUAUAUGAUCGAAUAGUGGCCUUGAGAUAAAAUGGCAAUCCGAAGAAUAUCGCGUAGCUGAGGUAACAUUAGAACAAAGUCGGUUGUAAAUUGGCACAUAGGAGUAGGCGAUAACAAUUCGGCACGAAGGUGAGGAUGUGUAGAAUGUCUGGUUUAGGUGGCAACGCUUAAGGCAAUUCCUCAAUGGUAUCAAAUUUAACUAUGUCAAAAACAUGUACGAGGGGAUACAAGACAAUUCUCAAAAACUUCAUUCUUACCAUUAGAAUAUUCAAUAGGCUCAUAAAUAAAAUCCUCAUUUUCUUGAUCAUGAUAAAGACUAACAUAAUCGGACAUUGGAAGUGAUCAGGACUGCAAUGGUAAGCCUAGUGUGCUUGGCAAAGAUGGAAGGAUAUAUCCCAUAGGUUGGCUUUCAGGUAAGCUUCAUCAAGGAUUGGGAUUCGAGAAUGUCGUCAUGCUUUUUUCAGAAUUUAAAUCGUUGAGAAACCCAAACUCUAGGACAUGGAUAUCUUUAUAAAUAUCACACCUAUGUAAUAGUUAUAAGAAUUAAACCAUUAAGAAACUUGAACUCUGAGACGUGGAGAUCUUUAUAAUUAUCAUAACUGUGUAAUAGUUAUUCAAAGUGGGCUAGAUACUAGCUAAUAAUAGAUGUACUUUGCCAAAGUGCAAAAAGAAUAGAACUAGGGGCUUGGAGUUGUUAUAUGAAUCGUAUGUGGUGUUGAUUAUUUGAAAUAGCUAUAAAUUAUCAUGUAGCACACUUAACAAAACUCUAAAACCGAAUCAAAUAAUUUUUGUUUUUAAUUAAACCGAACAAAAGAAAAUGAAAAAUUUGACCAAUUAACAACUAAAAGUAAAUUUUAUUUAUUUAAUUAAUUUUUAAAAAAAAAAAUCGAAAUUGCGAAACACUUGAAAAAAGUAAAGGUAUUAAGAUAGUAAAAAGUCUACAAGAGCAAUUGAUAUGGAGCCAACUGUAGGCAUAAUAAUUAUUCAAGCAUUCAAGAUUCCAUGCGAGAAUCGGAUUACAUCAGUGUGGCUCCUUGAUCGGAAUUAACAACAAAGUACCUAUCAAUAGUUUUUUUUCUUUUUGGAUUUUUUUUUUCUUGUAACUAACAAGAACAAACGUAAAUAACUAAGGAAUGAACAAUUCGGCCUUUUAUUUUUAUAUUUUUAAAAAAAUAAUAAUAAGACGUAACCAACUAUAGCUUUGUUGGGGAACAACUCCGACUUACGUGAUAAAUGAAAAAAAAAAUGUUUUUGUAACAAUAAGUCGCUGUUUGGGCUGCAUUCUGAAAAAAAUGCAUUUUUCUCUCAUCUUUUCAACCAUACAUUCCCAUAAAAUAAUAUUACACGUAAAUUCAAAACUUUUUCUUAUUUUUUAAUCACACAAUUUUUUUAAAAAAUUACUAUUCAAAAAUAAAUUUUUCUCCAAAAUGCAUUUUAGUUGGAGCCCAAACAUGGGCUAAGUAAAAGCUAAAACAAAGUGAGAAACAUCUUUUGUCAACUAAGUUGUUUUUUAUUUUUUAUUUUUUUUUCAAUUGCUGAUUUGGGGGAAUUUUUUAUGGUUUAAGGUGGCUAUGAUUGUAAGUGUAUAAGUUUUAAUUUUGAAAAAGAAAUUUUAGUCAAAGAAAAAUGAGUUGCUCUAAUAACAAAUUGAUGUAGAACAUAAUGAACAAAGAACAAGUUUAGAUAAAAAGAGAAGGAGAAGAGAAGAGAGAUGAAAGAGAAGAGAAUAUAGAAAAAAUUGGGGAAGAAAAGUAUUAAUUUAUUUAAUAAUUAAACUUGAAGUAUGAAAAUGAAUAGACAAGCUUUAUAUAAAGUCUAAGCAAACCUAAUUUGAGAAGGAAAUAACAAUCCAAUUAUAGUUAGACCAGAAAACUAUAAUAAAUUAAUCCGAUCAAAACAAACAUGAUUUGAAAUUAAAUUCUUCAUUAAAAUCCGAUAUUUAUUCUUAUCACCAUUGUCCCUCAGUAGGCAUAAGGCGGAUUCCCAAGCUUGGGUUCUAGUUGAUAUAGGGCUGAUUGUAUUAGUUCCAUGGCAUAGUAGAGAUAUGGUUGCUUAGGUCAAGAAUGUUCCAAUAGGACUUAACUUAUUUUUAUCCAUUUUUCUUUUCUUUUCUCUUAUUUUCUAGUUCAGAGAUAUGGGGAGAGAUUGGGAUAUUUACCACAAAGAAUUGAUGAAGUAUUGGAAAAUGUACUGUCAUUAUUGUAUGUUAGUACUUUCACUAUAAUUUGGAUUAGUUCGUUAUAUGCAACAGUUGUAUACAUACUGCAUUUGUCACUCCAACGGCAAAUUUUUUUAUUUGUGGAUGGAACUUUCAUGUUAAACUUUUGACCUUAGGAUAUAGCCUUCAGUGUACAUUAACAUUGCUAACUAUGAUUUAUAAAAUCAAUGGUUCACUGUCGCUGUUUUACUUGCACUUUUUAAAUUGGUGGUGAAGUGAAUAGUAAUAUUCCCGUGUUUGUGUUUUAGGUAGUUUUUGAAUUCUACGUAAUGAUUGCACUUUUUUAUAGUGUGAGGAAUUAUGGCUUGGGAAAGUACACAUACCUCGGAUAUCAAAAGUUCCAGGAAUAUCAAAAUUGGCUUCUUACUCUCUGUCCAUUAUGGAUGGCAAACGAGUGAGUAACUAGUAAUCUUCUCUCGCUUACAAACUACAUACUCAGGGUAUGUUGGUAUGCAGUAGUGGAUAGUACAAUGAACAAUAUUUUCCCUCUGUCUUUUUUAUUUAACACUGUCGGAUUACUAUCCAACAUGCUAUCAAAAUUAUGAAAGUGUACACCAUGUUUCAGUGACUUUGAUUGAUGAUCUUCAGAUCUCUGCCUAAUGCACCUCAAACUCCCAAUCUUUCUGAUUUCAGGCAAGAAUAACGUGCAAUGAUCUCUGUGAUCAUGUGUGGGAAUUUCAUUUCACUGAGGUAUAUACUUCAUUCUUAUUGGUGUAGCCAAUCCUUGCAUGUUUCUGAUGAAGCUCUAGAAAAUUUACUUUGAAAUUUUUAGGUUCAGCUAAACAUGCUCAUAGUCAUGUACGGUUGCUCUAAAAGAUGUGUUAGGUGCAGGCACUUUCCUCAGUUGCCAUCUCUAGAAAACCAUCAAGUCCCCUAAUUUUUGUUUCUCAUUUACCUUCGUUUAGCCGCUUUAGUUCUUUCCUAUUUUAUGUUCUAUUUCAAUUUUGCUUCCGCAAUUUGUUUUCAUGUUUCAACCUACACAAACUGUUAAAUUUUCUCAAAUGUCAGAAGUGUUGAAGACUGAAUCUCAUAUGCGUGACAACUCUUUCAUUAACCCAGUCUUUCGUUUCUGCAUUCCCAACUUCUUUGUUUGCUGCAAAUGCAGCCCAAGUUCAUAUUGUCUCUUAGAUUAGGCAACCAAGAUUAUUUGGAUAAUUAAAUUCGAACUAUCUCAAGAAACACUUAAAUUAGUGUUCCAUUUUUAAUUACCUUUACGGGAAACUCCCCUAAGAAAGUAUUUACUUGAUGUUCAUUCUUUUAUGCAGCUCCGAGCUGCCAUAGUUCUUCUAUAUUUAUAUUUCAGCUGAUUCUAUAGAAAUAUGGCUUUGCUAUUUGUUUUCAUAAAAUGUAAAGAUCCCAAGUUGUUUGAUUAGCUGUCAUAUACUUCCACAGUCCUUGAAAGUAAAACUCCCAACUCGAGCCAGAGCUUACAAAUUUAUCAUGUGCCAUGUCUUUUUAGUUUUUAUUUUUCUUCUCUUUGGGUACAUAUCUUUUAGGUUCUCCCUUACCCCGUCUUCGCAGGUAGUAGAUACAGCAGCUAAAACUUUACUGUUCCAGUUUCUACCAAAUUAUUCAUACAAUUCCAAAUUAUGAAGAAAAAGUUCCAUUAGUAUUUUCAUUUAUUAUUUACCUUUCUUUUGACAUUUAAUCCUUUUCUGAUGGGCUAUGUAGUUAGUUGCUCAAGAAGCUAUUACUUCAUGGACUAAUUAAUGCUGCUGUAUAAACUUUUUUCGAACCUAGAUUAUAUUUCAAUUUGUCAGGAUGAAUGACCACAAAUUUAUUAAGGAUAAGACUUUAGUUAUCGUUCUAUAUUAUGCUCAUUGUCCUCAAGACAAUGUAGACAAAAUCAAAGCAUGGGCCCCAAAAAAUGAUUAAUUUGAUGAUCUUACCCGGAUAUUCUGAUGAUCUCCUCUUUCUGUAGGAUGCUCCUGAAUAUUGGCGAAAUCUUGAUCCUUACUGGACAGGCACAGGAAGUACAUUGCGCCGGUAUUUCCAUCCAGAUGGAAGCAUAUCUGCAGAUCCUGGUGAUCUGGUAUGGGGCGGCCACGAGUCAUGCUACACUACAGUUACCGGAUUGCUGGAAGAUGGAGAAAUACGAGAACAUUAUGUGAGAAUCAAUCGUUGGCCUCAAUUACAUGUUUUGAGGAAGCCCGAUUGGGGUUGGGAAUUAUCAAACCAUCUCUACUGCUACACUAGUGUCCCUGAUGCCGAAAAGGAAGAUGGAACGGGUCCUCUGUUUCCAGUUUUUUAGUCUAGUUUUGAGGGUGUUUUAUGUUUGAUUAAUGUUAUAGACUCUGUUCUGGCAAGGAGAUUUUGUUUUAUGUAUGUAUGCAUGUAUAUAUUGGUAAACAUGUCGUGUUUAUUUCAAUGAAAAAAUUUCAUAUGAAUCUAAAUGGGCAUGGCUGUCUUGGGAAAAAAACACGGGGGAUUUGUGUAUCUAUAUUGGAUUAAACUACUUGUACAUGACACCCCCUAUGUGUAAAAAAUUUGGCAGUUGAUUGGAAAAAGUGUCGUGAAGAUAAACGUACUCACAUGGAUGUAAAUCACCGUGUCAAUCUUUAUGUACUUAUAGCAUUGUCCAUUUAUAUUUUCUAUUAACAUUACAACUUUAAAAAACAAAUAUGCUAUAGUGCUAGGAAGGUUGACACAAUGUCACGUGAUAUAUUAUAUUAUUGAACAUUUUAUAAUAAAAUCAACUUUUCCAUCCAAUCAUCUACCAUCAUUUAUCUUUGCAUUUGUCAAUAUCUUUCAAACAAAGUGGCAUGAUCUUUUUAAAAACAUUUAAAUAUAAGAAGAUAGAAAGACUUGGCCUAUGAGAGUAACAAAAAAAAUUAUUGUGGUCUUUCCUCUUUGAAAUGAAGAAAGAGUAAUUCUAUUUCACUUCCCUGAAAUUACAACGUCAAGUUUUAAUUUGAUAUUAAUUGAUUGAUAGAAUUAAAAAACUCGUUUAAUUUCAAAUUUCAUUUGACAUAUUAUGAGAGUGUUUGAUGGGUAUUUUUAUGAAAAAAUGCAUUUUAAAAUAAUAAAUUGAUAUGAAAUGUGUAGUUGAGAAAUGAGGAAAUUUUUUUUUUAUAUGUAAUAUUAUUUUAAUAAAGAAUGUGUAAUUAAAAAAAAGUGAAAAAAAUACAUUUUAAAAAAAAUAGCUACCAAAGGGCACCUAUAUAGUGCCAUUUAGACUAGGAUGCAAUCCCUAGGGAACACUUUACCUUCUUCCGGACUCCCAACGCCCCACCCUAACCCAACAAAACACACCCACCACUGAAAAUCGCCGCCCCUAUUCACCCACCUGCCAUCCGGAAAUGGCUCGUUAUCACUGUACACGAAUCCACCUACUCCCCCAUCCUCCUUUCUCUCCCUCAAUCACUCAGCCCUCAGGCAGUUUAUCUAUAAAACUCACCGGGUCACCUCCGAGUUUUCUUGAAUAUUUGACUCAGCUCUUCCAAUGGAGGUCGAAACUCGCGCUCCUGCAGCCUUUGAUACUUCUCAUUUUUCUUCUACUCCCAUAAACCACUCGGAGAUUUGCGACGUUGAGCUUCAAUGCCGUAGAUGCCCGGCUACUCGAAUGAAGCUCUGGAACAGCACGAAGUUGAAUCACCAGCCUCCAAUCUUAAUAAUUAUUGGAAUGAAUACGCAAAAUUGAAAGUCAAUAAUUAUUGGAAUAAAUAAGUUUUCAUAUAAUAUUAAGGAGAAACAGAUUGAAUGAUUGGUCGAAAAUGAAAAGAACUCUUUCUUUUAUCAGGCCCAUUGUGAUGCUAGAAAGAGGGUUUGAAUUUUGGUAUUUUUCUUACAUUUCAAAUUGU
Molecule: long non-coding RNA, 9178 nt
Filed under: Olea europaea (common olive)
Lineage: Eukaryota; Viridiplantae; Streptophyta; Magnoliopsida; Lamiales; Oleaceae
Description: long non-coding RNA (OEUR_LNC008214)
Source: RNAcentral